GGCGGGUCAGAGGCCGGCCGUCUUCCUCCACGGGCCUCACUGGCGUCCACGCGCCCGCCGGGUCAGGCGGAGGAGGGAAGCAGCCGGGUCCGCCUGAAUUUGGGUUUCGGAGGUGUGUUGUUUCAUCAGCAACGUGUUUUCUCAAAAACUGACUUUUAGGCCACAGCCCCGAGUGUGGUUCCUUCUUCUGCGGGUGUCGCCUGGUGGUCCCCGCAUGCUGGCAGGCGGUGGCUCUGGAGCAGGUGGGCAACGGCUCCCUGCCCAGGCCACAGGCUGGGGCAGCCCAGCUGCAGCCUCUGCAGGCGGGGGACACAAGUAACAACUCAGCUGUCUCCGGAGCAGCACAGACACCUCAGAGACGGAUGAAUGUCAUAUUCUGUCUCAAAAUUUCCUUCACAGACACUGACACAUGGAUUUUUGCAUAUCAUUUUCGUGAGUCAUGAAAUGUUCUUUUUCUAAUCCCUCCACACACAAUAAUUUAAAAAUGUAAACAUGGCCCAUAUAAGAACUAGACUGAACUGGCCUGUGGGCCUCGGUUCGCUGACCCCUUGUUACAGGCUAAGUUGUGUCCCUCCAGGCUUCGCGGCAGAGUCCAACCCGCUGCACCCAGAUGGCGACCUUAUCUGGGGAGAGGGUCUUUGCAGAGGUCAUCGGGCUGAAGUGAGAGCAUUAGCCUGGGCCUGAAUUCACACGGUUCCGCCUCCUUCCAAAAACGGAAGUUUGAACGCAGACACAGGGAGAAGUGGGCCCUGCCCAGCCCCGAUGCACCUGCGGCCUCCGAAGCUGGAAGGGAGGCAGGCGGUCUCAGUGGGAAGCAGCCUUGCUGACACCGUGUCCGCAGACUGCCAGCCUCCAGGACCGAGGGACAGGAGUUUCCGCAGCUGUGGUGUGCUGUGAGGCAGCCCAGCAGCCUCUCCGGCCCUGGCCUCCGAGGGACCCUGCUGGCUGACCACCCCUCCCCACCGGCGCCGCCAUCCCCCCUCCACGCAGCGGCCACGGCGGGGCUUAGGCGCCGGGGCCCUCCUCCGCCUGCACCUUCUCAGGGACUCCCGUGGCUCUGGGGUAGGAAAGCUGCUGUCUUCCCUCCCCAGAGGCCUCCUGCCCUCACGCCCUCGUGCCCUCCUCCAGAGCGCUUCCCAGGGCCCCGCUGUGCCCCUGCUUCCCUGGCGCUGAUGCGCAUGAAGACUGCAGGGCUCCUCGGGACGGCGCAUAAUCCAGGCUGGACCUACUGUUCCCGUCACUGUUAUCACAGGCACAUUUUCCUUCCAAUUUGAAAAAAAAAAAAAAAAAGAAUGUUUU
This 1299-nucleotide long non-coding RNA is filed under the name Sus scrofa (pig). RNAcentral's name for it is "lncRNA (ENSSSCG00045009423.1, ENSSSCG00065037334.1)". The record is from RNAcentral. Lineage: Eukaryota; Metazoa; Chordata; Mammalia; Artiodactyla; Suidae.